Molecule: ribosomal RNA, 409 nt
Filed under: uncultured bacterium
Lineage: Bacteria
Description: bacterial SSU rRNA
Rfam family: Bacterial small subunit ribosomal RNA
Source: RNAcentral
AGUGGCGGACGGGUGAGUAACACGUGAGCAACCUGCUUCAGAGGGGAUACCGUUGGAAACGACGUUAAUACCGCAUAACGUAUCGGUACCGCAUGAUACUGAUACCAAAGGAGCGAGUCCGCUGAAAAGAUGGGCUCGCGGCUGAUUAGGAUAGUUGGUGGGGUAACGGCCUACCAAGUCAACGAUCAGUAGCCGGACUGAGAGGUUGAACGGCUACAUUGGGACUGAGACACGGCCCAGACUCCUACGGGAGGCAGCAGUGGGGAGUAUUGCGCAAUGGGGGCAACCCUGAACCGCAGCAACGCCGCGUGUGGGAAGAAGGUCUUUCGGAUUGUAAACCAUUGUCUUCGGUGACGAUAAUGACGGUAGCCGAGGAGGAAGCUCCGGCUAACUACGUGCCAGCCGCGGC